Molecule: ribosomal RNA, 248 nt
Filed under: uncultured Actinomycetales bacterium
Lineage: Bacteria; Bacillati; Actinomycetota; Actinomycetes; Actinomycetales
Description: partial 16S ribosomal RNA
Rfam family: Bacterial small subunit ribosomal RNA
Source: RNAcentral
CAGGGUACUCGAGUGGCGAACGGGUGAGUAACACGUGGGUGACCUGCCCUGCACUUCGGGAUAAGCUUGGGAAACUGGGUCUAAUACCGGAUAGGAGCCAUCUUUAGUGUGGUGGUUGGAAAGUUUUUUCGGUGUAGGAUGAGCUCGCGGCCUAUCAGCUUGUUGGUGGGGUAAUGGCCUACCAAGGCGGCGACGGGUAGCCGGCCUGAGAGGGUGUACGGCCACAUUGGGACUGAGAUACGGCCCAG